UAAUGUGAGAUUCCUUAGAAAAGAGCUUGGUAAAGUUUGAAUGUGAAUCAGAAAGUGUCAUAAAUUAGACUUUAAAUUAGGAUUUAGGUCAAAAUCUCAGGCUGACAUUUAAAUACCAAGUCAAUAUAGUUGUUCAUGAUGUUAUCAACAAACAUUUAAAAUUUUAAUUAUUUGAUUGAUGCUCUGACUGUUAAAAAAAUAAUGCGUCUUCAGUCUUCAAACACAAUCUUGUAUCAAGGUCGACUCGGGGAUCUGUAUGGGCAGGCAGUUCCUGGUGAGAAGACCCCAAAGGCACAUGGAUGAGCAUCGCGCCUGAAGCCACGGGGGUGUUCCAGUGGAUGGAGAAGACGCAUGACUUAAGGAGGGUUCAAGGUUGUGCGUGAAGCGGGAGAUCGUCCGAAGGAAAAGAACACCUGGUCCUGAGAGGAAGGAACAAAUUCUAACUUCGAUGUACAUGGGCUCUGGUCUUGGCAUCAUGGCAAAAGCUUUUCCAGCCCAAGAAGGGAGGAGCAUGGAGUCCUCACGGGGAACAGGAGCGUGGGUCCCUUCUAAAGGAUAGGGUUGCCUGGUUCUGUGGUCCAUCCUCCAGGGUACCUUGGUGGUGGUGGCCAGGAAGGAGCAGGUUUCACCGGCGGAGAACGAGGUUUUAAAGCGAAUAGACGUCUCCAUGAAUCUGCUAAAUCUUCUGCCUCCGGAUUUGUUCCCAAAUGGAGUGGCGAUCUCCAGAGGCUGCUGGAGCAGGGCUUGGAAGGAGACAGGUGGCCCUGGGAGCCCUGGUGACUCCGUGGAGAGCUUGGGAAGCGCUCGCGUUGGGCUGCAGAGGUUCACACUCUGCUGGUCUUCGGCACCCCGUGUUCCGAGUCACGGGGCUCCUUCCUGCCCUGUGUCCUUUCCAGAACACACAGCCCCCUGGGUGGGCCACCGGCUGUGGGCUGCAGACGCGCCUCUGCCCCGGCCCUGUCACAGCGUGGCCCCCUGGGGCAUGUUUGGAGGUGCUGGAGGAGGGGGCUGGGGGGGCCUCAGGUUCCCGAGGGCGCGUCCUUGAAGGGUCUGUGGGACCCUGGCCCUCUGCCUCGAGGUGAGCAGUCUGUGUAGACCUGAUGCUUGUGAGGCACCAUUCUUAGAUUUCUCUCACGUUUCCAGAAUAUUCUGUGUGAUUUCCGUUUUCCUGGAGAACAUCCGUUUUCCGUUACUUGCUUUGCAACCUUGUGCACCUCUCUGGUCUCUCAGCGUGACCGGGCUCAAUGCCUGCUUGGUCCCCCUUUCUCCUACGCUGCUCUGUUCCACGCAGGGGCUGUGAACUCUUGGUCAGGUUCCUCCGAGGCAAUCAGAGUUGGAUUCUUGCUGUUUCUGUUCUGCAAGAUGCCACAGGUGUGAGAGGGGUAGGAGAAGGCUGGGGCUCUGAGCUCCCCUUACCAUGGCAGCCUGAGCCAAGGAUGGCUUCUCUGUCUGUAAAAGCGGGUUUGUUAAAGGUAAGUGUGGAGCAUGUGGGUCCUCCUGGGAUCCGACCGCACUGCAGCGCCAAGGCGUCAGGGGAACUUCGAGGAGCACAAGUUGGAGGUUCUGAAGUUGCAUAUGGAACCGUGUUUCACUGAGUACAAUUACAAAGGAACAUAAUAUCUCAAUUUUUUGAGUCACAAUCUUAGGCUUAUUACUGUCAAAAAGCAAUUACAAGCUAUUUUUAUGCAGAGCUCAAACAUAAAAUUAAAGACUCAGAAAUGAAAGGGAAACAUUUUUAACCAUACAAUACAGUGCUCAUAACAAUGUCUAUGGAGCCAAAUGUGGAGCGGAGGAAAUAUGCACAUUCUGCAACCCAGAGAGGGUGUUGACGAAGAGGAGCUCGAGGAGUAAUUUAGGCCAGCUGCUGGUAGUAACCUUAUUUCUCUACUUGCUGAUAUAUCAUAGUGAGGGAGGAAGAUCACGUUGAAACACUUCAAAUUUUGAAAUAACCCAGCUUUUUUAGAACAAGGUCUUCAAUAGCAGAAAUGCCACGUGGGGCACCGACACAGCACGGUGGGUGGCGGGGACUCUGGUGCUGUGUCGGCAGGGGUGCCUUCAGACAGACGGGCAUCGGGCCCUGGUGCCAGGGGAUGUGCUGGAUCAGGUAAAGCCCCGAGAGGUGCCGUGUGCACACAGGGGGCGGAUCUUGACCCCAGGCUGCUCUUGAGCAAGCAGGGGCAGGGCGGAGCUCCUGGGAAGCCGUCGAGCCAGUGAGCCCAGUGCUGGUUGAGGGAGGGCCAGCUGGGGGCAGAUCUGGACACCGGCCUCGGGGCCGUCAUCGGGUCCACACCAGGGUGCCCACAGCCUUCUGCACAGCCCCUUGUGAAUUCACGGUGAUUCUCAGAGUCUGGCCUGUGGUGCCCUCAACAGCCUCUCACUGGCUGUGGGACGAUGACAGCCGGAGGUGGCUUGCAGGCACCACCUCCUCUCUGGACAUCCUCUGCCAGCAUCAGUUCUGCCACCUGCGGCACGUGGUCAACCAGAAAGGAAGGAGGCCGCACCCCUGGAGCUGGACAGAGCCUUCCGCCUGCGUGGCCCACACCCGCCAGCCACAGAGUCCCCGGGAAAGGGAACGGCACGCAGCGUCUGUGGGGAGGGCAGGGAGGCCGGCCUCGUGGCCCCUUUGCCCCCGCAGGCUGGGGGCGAGGCCCAUGGAGCAGGGGCAAGGUCCCAGAAGCAGGGUGCGCGUGUCCCCUGGGUGUCAGCCUGGGGAGGCCACCUUCCUGCCGACACCGGUUUCCUAGGGUUCCUGAUUACAGAGGAAGGUGCUCAGGCCCCUAGUUCCACAACAAGGGAGGUCAUGCCCACCUUCGGCAGCUUGGCAGGGAUCUGGGCUGUCCCCAGGGGAGGCGACCCUGCUAUCUCAUCCUCCCUCGGGGACUGGCCCACACUCGGCUCCUGGGCUGGAAGGAGAACAGAGGUUGGUGACCGGCCGGCAAUGCUGGGAGUCUCCACCUCUCAGGCCAUGGUGGCCCCCUGAGGAGUCGGUGUCCAUGGGCUGCAGUGUCCUGGGGUGCUGCUGGCUUGCAGGGCCACCGGGCUCCCAGGCAGUUCUGACUUCCGCAAGAGGAGCCGACUGCGGGCCUGGCCCUUCCCCGCAGGUCUGCUGCUGCUGAGAGCUGGGUUUCUUCAUGUGGGCCAAAUGCAGAAGAGUAUAGUGGGUCCGUGAAAGACCUCCUGGCCCAUCCUGGCCGGUCUGCACCUUAGCAGAGGGACGGCAGAGAAGGCUCUGAGGCCCCUCAGGAUGCCACUGCGGGAAGCCUCCUGGAGCAGCACAGCGUGGAGGGCCUCACUGUGUUCUGGGGUGUGCCCUCUGCUCUCAGAGCUCUGGGCCUGAGUCAGCUGGGGCCAGGCCUCGGGCUCUGCAGGAGGCAGAAAGAACCUGCUGUAUUUGGGUUGUGCUGGAUCUGUGGGCAUGUGGGCCCAGGCCGGCCUGGGUGGUGACGGCAAAGUGCGCAAAUCGUGGGGUGCCUGCAGGAGAGCUGCUCCCCUACGUCCACAGGGCCCCAGGCCCUGAAGGUGGUCGGCCCUUGCCUCUCCUGGUGCGCCCGGCCCGGGUCGGGCUCAGGUCCUCUGAGGGGUGGCCGGCCUCAGGGACCGCGGUGAAUCUGUCAGCCCUGCAUGCCACACAGGCAAGAGGCUGCAGGGCCCCAGGGCUUCUCAAGGCCGGGCUCCUGCACGGAAGAUCCUGCAGGACCCGCAGAUGGAGGCGUCCUGGAAACAAGAACACAGACCCCGAGCCCCGUCCACUGUGCCUGCUCAGCUGCUGGGCCCUGAAGUCCCCUCUGGGGAGGAAACCAGCAUGGGGACACUCCAGUACGCACGCAGUAGGAGGGCACAGCAGUGAGCCCAGGAGAGGGUUCCAACUCCACCGCCCACGCCACUUAGGAGCACACGGUGCCGCGUGGAGGUCGCCGCGGCCGCUCGCCUUCCCCAGCCGCCGUGCAGGUCCAGCCUCUGCAGGGGCAGCUGCGCUGAGCACCUUCGCAGAGCCACCUGUGUUCUGCCAUUGACGGGGUCCCCGACUUUCAUGGUUCUUAAGAGCACUUAAAAUACUGUUCGUACUAGCCAUAAUUAGCAAACAGACCACAGGAAUAAUCACACUCAUUCCCACAAAGAUUCCUUGUUUGCACAGACCAAUCCAUUACCUGCUUCAGUGAACCGUCCUGUGGUUAAUUUGCAGUUUUCACCCCUGGGUGAUGGAAACAACCUGCCCUCUUCCAGGCACCGUGGCUAUUGUUCUGAGUCCGAUGUAUAAUGCAUGAGAAAAAAUUGUUUGUCAAACAUUCCAGACAGGCCACUUAAAUUCUAGAUCAAUUGAUAACAUUCACACCAAGAGGCUGGAAUGAAAAGGGGCCGGGAGUUUUAUUUUUUGUCACAGCUUUAUGGAGACGAAAUUCGCACGCCUUCCACUUUGCCUGUUGGAAGUGCAUGAUGGGGUUCGUGCAGUCUCUCAGGACGAUGGGUGUCAGAGCGUCCUCGUCUCCUGACAAGGGCCCACACCCCGGCACGCUCUGCCUGGCCCCCGCCUCCUCCGCACCUGCACCUGCACUGGGGCUCGGGCUAGGUGCACACUCGGUGCAGGUGACGUGCAGGAGUCUGGGCUUUGUGGUGGCCUCCUUUCCCCCAGCCUGGAGGAGGUGGCCCCUCUCUGACACAGAUGGGCAUCUGGUGCUUUUGCUAAUAAUCCAUGUGUGUCUCUUGCAGUUUAUAGAUUCAUCAAUUCAUUUUGGCUACGGGAUCAUUCUGUCUUCCUAAAAAAGGUUUAGAAUGAAGUGAAUAUGCAACAAAUAGCUUUAUGAAGCCCUGAGUGGCAUCACUGCCUUCUAUUCCCAAGUCACCUCCAAACGGUCUGCGUCCCUGCAGUUUUUGCGGGCUGCUCCGGGGUCUUCCCGUCCUCAGCAUCUUUCUUUCUUGUGACUUUCUAACUUCUCAGAAGUAACGGCCACUUGGAGAAGGACAGAGUCCAGGUGGAAACUGUCCCCGAGAGGUGGGUGCAGAGAUUUGACCCGCAGCCUCGGGGCAGCUGAACACCCAGAGCCUCCACACCCCUGUGUGGGGCAGGGCACUGUGCCAUCUGGUGGGCUUUGUGGGCCAGCAGUGUGGCCAGCAGUGAGGCAGGCGGCUGCCUGGCACCAAGCCGUGACGGCCCAGGUGUCACCACGCCCUGGGCUCUUUGGGUUCCUUUGGGGGCUCUGCUGGAGCUCUGAGCCACUGGAGGGGCUGGAGAGUCAUAGUGGCCGUUUUGGCAGUGACUCCUGUCUGGACAGCACUGUCUGCAGGGCUUCUGCGGCCCUCCGCCUGGUCCUGCCACCUUUGGUACAGUUUUGGCGAGGUGGCUCCGGGAGGCUGUGUUCAGAGGCACACUCCUGCCACACCUGCAGGCACUUCUGACGUGAGGUGCCUGGUACAGUCCCCGACCGCCCUGACUGCUGGUGGCUCAGAGAGUGGAUCUGAGUUACCGGGCAUCGCGCUCAGGAGGCCGAGGCGUCCCGAGCACAGGCGUCGCACUCUGCCUCCCUGUGCAGCCGGUGCUGCUGAGGGGUUGUUCUGUUUGCUCAAGUGACAGU
Non-coding RNA from Ictidomys tridecemlineatus (thirteen-lined ground squirrel), 5570 nucleotides. The record is from RefSeq and is a predicted model, not a curated record. NCBI's taxonomy places the organism in Eukaryota, Metazoa, Chordata, Mammalia, Rodentia, Sciuridae.